Molecule: non-coding RNA, 107 nt
Organism: Solanum lycopersicum (tomato)
Lineage: Eukaryota; Viridiplantae; Streptophyta; Magnoliopsida; Solanales; Solanaceae
Source: Rfam
UGAUGAUGAUGUGGGCAACUCAAUAAUAGAGACUCUAACCUAUCCCAUGCUUGAUAAAAAAUUUCCUCAACUUUUUGUAGGAAGCUUAAUAUGUCGCUUCUUAACUU